RNAcentral lists this transfer RNA (75 nucleotides) under Candidatus Gottesmanbacteria bacterium RIFCSPHIGHO2_01_FULL_46_14. Its description in RNAcentral is "tRNA-Arg". It matches the Rfam family "tRNA". From Rfam's summary of the family: Transfer RNA (tRNA) molecules are approximately 80 nucleotides in length. Their secondary structure includes four short double-helical elements and three loops (D, anti-codon, and T loops). Lineage: Bacteria; Candidatus Gottesmaniibacteriota. The record is from RNAcentral.
GCUCCCGUAGUUCAACGGAUAGAAUAGGACUUUGCGGAAGUUCUGAUCACAGUUCGAUUCUGUGCGGGAGCGCAA